AAACUUACCUUGCAGGGGAGAUACCAUGACAGAUUAGUUUUUCAGGGUAAGGCUCAUCUAUUGCACUCCAGGUGUGCUGACCCCUGUGAUUUCUCCAAAUGCAGAGAACUUGACUGCAUGAUUUAUGGUAGCAGGGGAUGGUGUUCACACUUUCUUCUG
Rhineura floridana is the source of this 159-nucleotide small nuclear RNA. RefSeq annotates it as U1 spliceosomal RNA. The transcript has a single exon. The record is from RefSeq and is a predicted model, not a curated record. Lineage: Eukaryota; Metazoa; Chordata; Lepidosauria; Squamata; Rhineuridae.